RNAcentral lists this non-coding RNA (25 nucleotides) under Mus musculus (house mouse). The record is from RNAcentral. Lineage: Eukaryota; Metazoa; Chordata; Mammalia; Rodentia; Muridae.
UGCUGACACUGGUGCCGGAUCUGCU